AAGGAAUCCUGAGGUGAGGAGAGAAGGAAGGAAUCCUGAGGUGAGAGAAGGAAGGAAUCCUGAGGUGAGGAGAGAAGGAAGGAAUCCUGAGGUGAGCAGAGAAGGAAGGAAUCCUGAGGUGAGGAGAGAAGGAAGGAAUCCUGACGUGAGCAGAGAAGGAAGGAAUCCUGAGGUGAGAGAAGGAAGGAAUCCUGAGGUGAGAGAAGGAAGGAAUCCCGAGGUGAGAGAAGGAAGGAAUCCUGAGGUGAGGAGAGAAGGAAGGAAUCCUGAGGUGAGGAGAGAAGGAAGGAAUCCUGAGGUGAGCAGAGAAGGAAGGAAUCCUGAGGUGAGAGAAGGAAGGAAUCCCGAGGUGAGAGAAGGAAGGAAUCCCGAGGUGAGCAGAGAAGGAAGGAAUCCCGAGGUGAGAGAAGGAAG
RNAcentral lists this long non-coding RNA (414 nucleotides) under Pan troglodytes (chimpanzee). RNAcentral's name for it is "long non-coding RNA NONPTRT017710". The record is from RNAcentral. Lineage: Eukaryota; Metazoa; Chordata; Mammalia; Primates; Hominidae.